Molecule: ribosomal RNA, 147 nt
Filed under: Citrobacter werkmanii
Lineage: Bacteria; Pseudomonadati; Pseudomonadota; Gammaproteobacteria; Enterobacterales; Enterobacteriaceae
Also listed under: 1 other name
Description: partial 16S ribosomal RNA
Rfam family: Bacterial small subunit ribosomal RNA
Source: RNAcentral
AAAUUGAAGAGUUUGAUCAUGGCUCAGAUUGAACGCUGGCGGCAGGCCUAACACAUGCAAGUCGAACGGUAGCACAGAGAGCUUGCUCUCGGGUGACGAGUGGCGGACGGGUGAGUAAUGUCUGGGAAACUGCCCGAUGGAGGGGGA